UAGGGAAUCUUCCACAAUGGACGCAAGUCUGAUGGAGCAACGCCGCGUGAGUGAAGAAGGCUUUCGGGUCGUAAAACUCUGUUAUUGAAGAAGAACGUGUGUGAAGUAACUGGUCAUGCAGUGACGGUAUUCAAUCAGAAAGUCACGGCUAACUACGUGCCAGCAGCCGCGGUAAUACGUAGGUGGCAAGCGUUGUCCGGAUUUAUUGGGCGUAAAGCGAGUGCAGGCGGUCUUUUAAGUCUGAUGUGAAAGCCUUCGGCUUAACCGAAGAAGGGCAUCGGAAACUGGGAGACUUGAGUGAGAAGAGGAGAGUGGAACUCCAUGUGUAGCGGUGAAAUGCGUAGAUAUAUGGAAGAACACCAGUGGCGAAGGCGGCUCUCUGGUCUGUAACUGACGCUGAGGCUCGAAAGCGUGGUAGCAAACAGGAUUAGAUAC
Molecule: ribosomal RNA, 435 nt
Filed under: uncultured bacterium
Lineage: Bacteria
Description: partial 16S ribosomal RNA
Rfam family: Bacterial small subunit ribosomal RNA
Source: RNAcentral